This 28-nucleotide non-coding RNA is filed under the name Rattus norvegicus (Norway rat). Lineage: Eukaryota; Metazoa; Chordata; Mammalia; Rodentia; Muridae. The record is from RNAcentral.
UCCCAGUACCCAAAAGGACGUGAGGGAG